GUGGGUAUAGCUCAAUUGGUAGAGCUCCAGGUUGUGAUCCUGGCUGUCAUGGGUUCGAUUCCCAUUACUCACCCCA
RNAcentral lists this transfer RNA (76 nucleotides) under Aeromonas veronii. Its description in RNAcentral is "tRNA-His". It matches the Rfam family "tRNA". Rfam says of the family: Transfer RNA (tRNA) molecules are approximately 80 nucleotides in length. The record is from RNAcentral. RNAcentral also lists the same sequence under 1 other name. Lineage: Bacteria; Pseudomonadati; Pseudomonadota; Gammaproteobacteria; Aeromonadales; Aeromonadaceae.